GACAGAGGAGGCAAGCGUUGUUCGGAAUCAUUGGGCUUAAAGGGCGUGUAGGCGGCGGCGCAAGUGUCGAGUGAAAUCCCAUCGCUCAACGAUGGAACGGCUCGGCAAACUGCGUCGCUUGAGGUCGGUAGAGGUGCUCGGAACUCUAGGUGGAGCGGUGAAAUGCGUAGAUAUCUAGAGGAACGCCUGAGGCGAAAGCGGGGCACUGGGCCGAUUCUGACGCUGAGACGCGAAAGCGUGGGGAGCAAACAGG
RNAcentral lists this ribosomal RNA (253 nucleotides) under uncultured bacterium. Its description in RNAcentral is "partial 16S ribosomal RNA". It matches the Rfam family "Bacterial small subunit ribosomal RNA", at positions 524 to 776 of the family's 1533-position model. The record is from RNAcentral.